This 1237-nucleotide ribosomal RNA is filed under the name metagenome. RNAcentral describes it as "bacterial LSU rRNA". It matches the Rfam family "Bacterial large subunit ribosomal RNA", at positions 1564 to 2810 of the family's 2925-position model. The record is from RNAcentral.
UGAGUACGAGAUGCUACGGCAUCGAAGCAGUCUAUGUCAUACUUCCAAGAAAAGCUUGCACUGUCAUAAACAAAGAAUGCCUGUACCAUAACCGACACAGGUGGGUAGGUAGAGUAUACUAAGGGGCGCGAGAUAACUCUCUCUAAGGAACUCGGCAAAAUGACUCCGUAACUUCGGGAGAAGGAGUGCCUUAUUUCUAAGGUUGCAAUAACAAGAUCCAAGCAACUGUUUACCAAAAACACAGGUCUCCGCUAAGUCGUAAGACGAUGUAUGGGGGCUGACGCCUGCCCAGUGCCAGAAGGUUAAAGAAGUUGGUUAGCAUUAGCGAAGCUGAUAACUGAAGCCCUGGUGAACGGCGGCCGUAACAAUAACGGUCCUAAGGUAGCGAAAUUCCUUGUCGGGUAAGUUCCGACCCGCACGAAAGGCGUAAUGAUUUGGAUACUGUCUCGGAGAGGGGCUCGGUGAAAUAGACUUGUCUGUGAAGAUGCGGACUACCUGCACCUGGACAGAAAGACCCUAUGAAGCUUUACUGUAACUUGAGAUUGAAAUUGGACUUUAUUUGCGCAGUAUAGGUGGGAGGCGUUGAGAAUAAUCUUGCGGGAUUGUUGGAGCCAUCAGUGAGAUACCACUCUUGUAAUGUUAGAUUUCUAACUUUGUAUCAUUAUCUGGUCAAAGAACAGUCUCAGGCGGGCAGUUUGACUGGGGCGGUCGCCUCCCAAAGGGUAACGGAGGCGCACAAAGGUUUCCUCUGAACGGGUAGAAAUCGUAUCUAGAGUGUAAAGGCAUAAGGAAGCUUGACUGUGAGACCUACAAGUCGAGCAGGGACGAAAGUCGGUCUUAGUGAUCUGACGGUGCUGAGUGGAAAGGCCGUCACUCAACGGAUAAAAGUUACUCUAAGGAUAACAGGCUGAUCUCCCCCAAGAGUUCACAUCGACGGGGAGGUUUGGCACCUCGAUGUCGGCUCAUCGCAUCCUGGGGCGGUAGUCCGUCCCAAGGGUUGGGCUGUUCGCCCAUGAAAGCGGUACGCGAGCUGGGUUCAGAACGUCGUGAGACAGUUCGGUCCAUAUCCGGUGUAGGCGUUAGAAUAUUGAGAGGAGCCUUCUCUAGUACGAGAGGACCGAGAAGGACAUACCUCUGGUGUACCAGUUAUCGUGCCAACGGUAAACGCUGGGUAGCUAUGUAUGGAGUGGAUAACCGCUGAAAGCAUCUAAGUGGGAAGCCCACCUCAAGAUAAGUA